RNAcentral lists this ribosomal RNA (355 nucleotides) under uncultured bacterium. Its description in RNAcentral is "bacterial SSU rRNA". It matches the Rfam family "Bacterial small subunit ribosomal RNA", at positions 1 to 334 of the family's 1533-position model. The record is from RNAcentral.
GCACUGUAGUCAGAGUUUGAUCCUGGCUCAGGAUGAACGCUGGCGGCGUGCCUAACACAUGCAAGUCGAGCGAGAAAUUAAUUAAGGAAUCUUCGGAAGAAUUAAUUAAUGGAAAGCGGCGGACGGGUGAGUAACGCGUGGGCAACCUGCCUUUCACAGAGGGAUAGCCAAAGGAAACUUUGAUUAAAACCUCAUAAUGCUAAUUUACUGCAUAAUAGAUUAGCCAAAGAUUUUAUCGGUAUGAGAUGGUCUUGCGUCUGGUUAGCUGGUUGGCGGGGUAACGGCCUACCAAGGCGACGAUCAGUAGCCGGCCUGAGAGGGUGUACGGCCACAUUGGGACUGAGACACGGCCCAA